RNAcentral lists this ribosomal RNA (398 nucleotides) under uncultured bacterium. RNAcentral describes it as "bacterial SSU rRNA". It matches the Rfam family "Bacterial small subunit ribosomal RNA", at positions 358 to 773 of the family's 1533-position model. The record is from RNAcentral.
GGAAUAUUGGACAAUGGGGGAAACCCUGAUCCAGCCAUGCCGCGUGAGUGAAGAAGGCCCUAGGGUUGUAAAACUCUUUCACCGGGGACGAUGAUGACGGUACCCGGAGAAGACGCCCCGGCUAACUCCGUGCCAGCAGCCGCGGUAAUACGGAGGGGGCUAGCGUUGUUCGGAAUUACUGGGAGUAAAGCGCGCGUAGGCGGUUUAUCAAGUCAGGUGUGAAAGCCCCGGGCUCAACCCGGGAAUUGCACUUGAUACUGGUUGACUAGAGGCCGGGAGAGGGUAGUGGAAUUCCCAGUGUAGAGGUGAAAUUCGUAGAUAUUGGGAAGAACACCGGUGGCGAAGGCGGCUACCUGGACCGGACCUGACGCUGAGGUGCGAAAGCGUGGGGAGCAAAC